RNAcentral lists this unclassified non-coding RNA (336 nucleotides) under soil metagenome. RNAcentral describes it as "partial contains 5.8S ribosomal RNA, internal transcribed spacer 2, and large subunit ribosomal RNA". The stretch from base 1 to 120 matches the Rfam family "5.8S ribosomal RNA", at positions 35 to 154 of the family's 154-position model. The record is from RNAcentral.
GAUGAAGAACGUAGUGAAAUGCGAUAAGUAGUGUGAAUUGCAGAAUUCAGUGAAUCAUCGAAUCUUUGAACGCACAUUGCGCCCCUUGGUAUUCCAUGGGGCAUGUCUGUUCGAGCGUCAUUUGUACCUUCAAGCUUUGCUUGGUGUUGGGUGUUUGUCUCGCCUUUGCGUGUAGACUCGCCUUAAAAUAAUUGGCAGCCGGCGUAUUGAUUUCGGAGCGCAGUACAUCUCGCGCUUUGCACUCAUAACGACAGCGUCCAAAAGUACAUUUUACACUCUUGACCUCGGAUCAGGUAGGGAUACCCGCUGAACUUAAGCAUAUCAAUAAGCGGAGGA